Molecule: ribosomal RNA, 397 nt
Filed under: uncultured bacterium
Lineage: Bacteria
Description: bacterial SSU rRNA
Rfam family: Bacterial small subunit ribosomal RNA
Source: RNAcentral
AGCGAACGCUGGCGGCAGGCCUAACACAUGCAAGUCGAACGGCCGUAGCAAUACGGCAGUGGCAGACGGGUGAGUAACACGUGGGAAUGUACCUCUUGGUUCGGAACAACUCCGGGAAACUGGAGCUAAUACCGGAUAAGCCCUUCACGGGGCAAAGGAUUUAUCGCCGAGAGAUCAGCCCGCGUCCGAUUAGCUAGUUGGUGGGGCUAAUGGCCCACCAAGGGCGACGAUCGGUAGCUGGUCUGAGAGGAUGAUCAGCCACACUGGGACUGAGACACGGCCCAGACUCCUACGGGAGGCAGCAGUGGGGCAAUAUUGGACAAUGGGCGCAAGCCUGAUCCAGCCAUGCCGCGUGAGUGAUGAAGGCCCCUAGGGUUGUAAAGCUCUUUCGGCGGGG